CGGGAUCACACAAGGCAGGCGAGACGCCGAUUGGCCCUGCGCGGGUCAGGAGCUGCGGGCUGCUGUAAACAGCCGGGGCCGACACGCUCUGGGAGGCCGUGGGCUGACCGACAGUAACCUCUAGGCAAACUCAGCCUGCCCCCGCCCCCCCGUGCUUCGAGGAGGGAUGGGGAGAGCAGGGCCGGCAGCGGCAGGAAAAUUCCCCUGGCCGAGGUGAAUGAACUCGUGUGACGCGGGGCCGGGCUGCCAGCAUUACGUGUUGUGCCGCAUGCACGGCUGCUGGCCGCGGGCGCUGGCGGAGGGCCCAGCUGGGUAACCUGCAGUAACCCGCGGUGCGGGCAGCCGGCGGCAGGCGUGCCGGGAGGGAGCAGCCAUCGUGAGCCGCUCGCUCAGCGCCCUUACAGAGGCACUGGGUGAUCUCCCCUUCCUCGCCGACGGUGGGAGGGAGCAGGGCUGGGGAUUGGCAUCUCCUCGCCCACAGAACACGGAGUAUCCCGCGUCGGAAGGGACCCCCGAGGCCAGCUCAGCCAAAGGCAUGGGUGGCAGUGCUUCGCCCAGUCCCGCUCGCCACUCUGGAAGCCCAACAGGUCUUAAAGUAACCAUUUUUAUUAUGAACAAAUAAAAUUUCAGAUCAGCACAACCAGAUGUCUGUUUCCGUAUUAGUAGAAAUUAUUUCAAAAAGUUUUUUUUUUUUUUUUUUUUUUCCUUUUCCAGUACACAAAA
Gallus gallus (chicken) is the source of this 723-nucleotide long non-coding RNA. RefSeq lists it as uncharacterized. The transcript is spliced from 2 exons. Lineage: Eukaryota; Metazoa; Chordata; Aves; Galliformes; Phasianidae. The record is from RefSeq and is a predicted model, not a curated record.